UCCCUGGUAGUAUAUUGGUUAGUACACGCGCCUGUAUGCCCUUGUCCUAAUCACUUGUCCUAAUCCCAUGUCCCGCGCGAAAAGCUGGGUUCAACUCCCAGCCAGGGAG
Rhodocollybia butyracea is the source of this 109-nucleotide non-coding RNA. The record is from the annotation of a GenBank genome assembly. Lineage: Eukaryota; Fungi; Basidiomycota; Agaricomycetes; Agaricales; Omphalotaceae.